UUUUUAAAAAUUAUUUGUUUUAACAUUAUUUACACCACUUCAGGAAGAAAGUGAACAUAUAUAACGAAAAACAAUCCCAUCCCUAUAUAAACCACAUCAAUGCAGAACACAACAACUAACAGGCUAGGGACAUUCAACGAACACAUUCGUGAGGCAAAUUCAACCCGCAACAAAACUCCGAUACCUCUGGCGAUAGCCAGAGGUAUCACACCCUGAAGUCUCACGGGCUGAUCCAAUCGAGAAUCAACAAUGCCAUGGAAACGCCUCUACAACCUUCGAUGUCUAGGAGAUUCUCUCCAAAAUUGGGACAAUAUCUCUAUAUAAAUACGUUCAUUAUGAAACAUUUAGAAAUACUUAUAUUGUUC
This is a long non-coding RNA of Lucilia cuprina (Australian sheep blowfly), 365 nucleotides long. RefSeq lists it as uncharacterized. Lineage: Eukaryota; Metazoa; Arthropoda; Insecta; Diptera; Calliphoridae. The transcript is spliced from 3 exons. The record is from RefSeq and is a predicted model, not a curated record.